This 295-nucleotide ribosomal RNA is filed under the name uncultured Synergistaceae bacterium. Its description in RNAcentral is "partial 16S ribosomal RNA". It matches the Rfam family "Bacterial small subunit ribosomal RNA", at positions 1089 to 1382 of the family's 1533-position model. The record is from RNAcentral. Lineage: Bacteria; Thermotogati; Synergistota; Synergistia; Synergistales; Synergistaceae.
GCAACGAGCGCAACCCUCGCUGCCAGUUGCCAACGGGUAGAGCCGGGCACUCUGGCGGGACUGCCAUCGACAAGAUGGAGGAAGGUGGGGAUGACGUCAAGUCAUCAUGGCCCUUAUGUCCAGGGCGACACACGUGCUACAAUGGCCGGCACAGCGGGAAGCGAGGCAGUGAUGCCAAGCGGAUCCCUUAAAGCCGGUCUCAGUUCGGAUUGAAGUCUGCAACUCGACUUCAUGAAGCUGGAAUCGCUAGUAAUCGCAGAUCAGCCAAGCUGCGGUGAAUACGUUCCCGGGCCUU